Molecule: non-coding RNA, 182 nt
Filed under: Succinivibrionaceae bacterium
Lineage: Bacteria; Pseudomonadati; Pseudomonadota; Gammaproteobacteria; Aeromonadales; Succinivibrionaceae
Description: 6S RNA
Rfam family: 6S / SsrS RNA
About the family: E. coli 6S RNA was the first non coding RNA to be sequenced, but its function was unknown until recently. It consists of 184 nucleotides that fold into an extended hairpin structure with a large single-stranded internal bulge. The 6S RNA specifically associates with RNA polymerase holoenzyme containing the sigma70 specificity factor.
Source: RNAcentral
UUAACCCUGGGGCGCAAUCCAGCUGCUUCCCACCCUGAGCCGAUAAUACUAAGACUUUGGCGUCUUCUUGUUAAAGGUGUGUGAAUUCGUUUUUACGAAAUUCCCUAAUUUUAACACCGAUGCCUAACUUGAACACACUGGUUCAAGGAGUCAUGAACGGCAGAUACGCUUUCGGGGCCUUA